AUGCAUCACCACGUUGCCGAAGCCAUUUCUGCUUCCUACACAGAGCAAAGCCAGGAUUCAAGCCUCGUGAGUCUGGCUGCAGACCACAGCCUCAGCCAUGCGGCCGGGGCACCAUGCAGAGGGCCCUGGGAGAGAUUCAUGUCCUUAUGGCCUCCCGGAUGGUCUCCCAGGAAGAAGAGGAGUCCAUGGAGCCACCAGGAGAGGAGAGAACUUGUGCAGGCAGUGGGGACAGCACAUGAAAAGUGCACAGAUGUGGGGGUGGGGGAACGAGCCUCCACGUUGUGGGGCAGGAGCACAAGGGACCAGGUGGUAGCAAUAUUAGCAAGGGAGGGGUGGGGCUGUAUCCUGGAGGCACCUAGGGACUCGAGUCUGAGAUCAGACAGGGGUACCCAUUGGAAGGAGGGAGCUGGGUGGGAUGGGGUGGCUUCCUGUUUAUUCAAGCCCAGUGAGGGGCUUCAGGGAGACCAGGUCUGGGCCUGGUGUCUGCCUCUCGCUCCAGAAUCCCAAGGAGGAUGGACAGGCUGCAGCAGCCCAAGACAGCAGGGGAGGGGCUGUGGGAAGGAGGGAGCAGCAUUCCCAGCCUCCCAGGGAGGGGGAAGGGUACACAGAGGGCAUGCUGCCCGGAGGCUAGAACUGGGGUACAAGAGUCUAGAACUGGGGUACAAGAGUCAGCCAGUCUCCUCCGGGACCUUUAGAGUCCUGGGAUGGGGGAAUCAUCAGCAACUGGUGGUGGAAACACAUCCGCCCCUAAGGGGUGUGCAGCAGACUCAAAGAGUGCCCCAGGUCAUACCUCCUGGUCCAGCUCAGACGCAGCCCGAGCCUCAGCACCCCGGGCACCCCUCCACCUUCCUACCACGGGGCUAUCUCCAGAGCUCGGAGCUCAGGGAGCUGCUGGGCCUGCUGGCUCAGGUACUGGCUACGAGUGCAGGCAGCCAGCAGCCAGCAGCCAGCACCCAUCCAAUAGUGUGCAGCUGUGGGAGAAGCCCCUGCUUCAGGCCUUAA
RNAcentral lists this long non-coding RNA (1002 nucleotides) under Oryctolagus cuniculus (rabbit). Its description in RNAcentral is "lncRNA (ENSOCUG00000035865.1)". The record is from RNAcentral. Lineage: Eukaryota; Metazoa; Chordata; Mammalia; Lagomorpha; Leporidae.